CCUACGGGAGGCAGCAGUGGGGAAUAUUGGACAAUGGGCGCAAGCCUGAUCCAGCAAUGCCGCGUGAGUGAUGAAGGCCUUAGGGUUGUAAAGCUCUUUCGCACGCGACGAUGAUGACGGUAGCGUGAGAAGAAGCCCCGGCUAACUUCGUGCCAGCAGCCGCGGUAAU
Molecule: ribosomal RNA, 169 nt
Filed under: uncultured bacterium
Lineage: Bacteria
Also listed under: 2 other names
Description: partial 16S ribosomal RNA
Rfam family: Bacterial small subunit ribosomal RNA
Source: RNAcentral